CGGCACGGGUGAGUAACACGUAUCCAACCUGCCGUCUACUCUUGGCCAGCCUUCUGAAAGGAAGAUUAAUCCAGGAUGGCAUCAUGAGUUCACAUGUCCGCAUGAUUAAAGGUAUUUUCCGGUAGACGAUGGGGAUGCGUUCCAUUAGAUAGUAGGCGGGGUAACGGCCCACCAAACCGACGAUGGAUAGGGGUUCUGAGAGGAAGGUCCCCCACAUUGGUACUGAGACACGGACCAA
This 238-nucleotide ribosomal RNA is filed under the name uncultured bacterium. Its description in RNAcentral is "partial 16S ribosomal RNA". It matches the Rfam family "Bacterial small subunit ribosomal RNA", at positions 100 to 334 of the family's 1533-position model. The record is from RNAcentral.